GACGAACGCUGGCGGCGUGCUUAACACAUGCAAGUCGAGCGGUAAGGCCUUUCGGGUACACGAGCGGCGAACGGGUGAGUAACACGUGGGUGACCUGCCCUCAGCUCUGGGAUAAGCCUGGGAAACUGGGUCUAAUACCGGAUAUGACUCCAUGACGCAUGUUGUGGGGUGGAAAGCCUUGUGCGGCUGAGGAUGGGCCCGCGGCCUAUCAGCUUGUUGGUGGGGUGANGGCCUACCAAGGCGACGACGGGUAGCCGGCCUGAGAGGGCGACCGGCCACACUGGGACUGAGACACGGCCCAGACUCCUACGGGAGGCAGCAGUGGGGAAUCUUGCGCAAUGGGCGAAAGCCUGACGCAGCGACGCCGCGUGAGGGAUGACGGCCU
This 385-nucleotide ribosomal RNA is filed under the name uncultured bacterium. RNAcentral's name for it is "bacterial SSU rRNA". It matches the Rfam family "Bacterial small subunit ribosomal RNA", at positions 28 to 417 of the family's 1533-position model. The record is from RNAcentral.